Sphaerodactylus townsendi is the source of this 210-nucleotide long non-coding RNA. RefSeq lists it as uncharacterized. The record is from RefSeq and is a predicted model, not a curated record. The transcript has 2 exons. NCBI's taxonomy places the organism in Eukaryota, Metazoa, Chordata, Lepidosauria, Squamata, Sphaerodactylidae.
AGAUAGUGCUCCAAAGGACAAUGAAUUGGAGGAACACUUUCCAGUAUUCCAAAUGAUUGAUCCUAUAUGGAAACUCCGUGGUUGCACUACACCAGAAAAUCGCCAUCUAUGCGGCACAAUUCAAACGUGGAACACGAGAAAUUUUUUCAAUGGAAAACCAGUGCAGAUCAGACUCAAUGUCACAUGCUGCGACACAUUCGGCUGUAAUAA